CGCGGCCUAUCAGCUUGUUGGUGAGGUAAUGGCUCACCAAGGCGACGACGGGUAGCCGGCCUGAGAGGGCGACCGGCCACACUGGGACUGAGACACGGCCCAGACUCCUACGGGAGGCAGCAGUGGGGAAUAUUGCACAAUGGGCGAAAGCCUGAUGCAGCGACGCCGCGUGAGGGAUGACGGCCUUCGGGUUGUAAACCUCUUUCAGCAGGGAAGAAGCGAAAGUGACGGUACCUGCAGAAGAAGCGCCGGCUAACUACGCGCCAGCAGCCGCGGUAAUACGUAGGGCGCAAGCGUUGUCCGGAAUUAUUGGGCGUAAAGAGCUCGUGGGCGGUCUGUCGCGUCGGAUGUGAAAGCCCGGGGCUUAACCCCGGGUCUGCAUUCGAUACGGGCAGACUAGAGUGUGGUAGGGGAGAUCGGAAUUCCUGGUGUAGCGGUGAAAUGCGCAGAUAUCAGGAGGAACACCGGUGGCGAAGGCGGAUCUCUGGGCCAUUACUGACGCUGAGGAGCGAAAGCGUGGGGAGCGAACAGGAUUAGAUACCCUGGUAGUCCACGCCGUAAACGGUGGGAACUAGGUGUUGGCGACAUUCCACGUCGUCGGUGCCGCAGCUAACGCAUUAAGUUCCCCGCCUGGGGAGUACGG
This 643-nucleotide ribosomal RNA is filed under the name uncultured bacterium. RNAcentral describes it as "bacterial SSU rRNA". It matches the Rfam family "Bacterial small subunit ribosomal RNA", at positions 232 to 885 of the family's 1533-position model. The record is from RNAcentral.